Molecule: long non-coding RNA, 1307 nt
Filed under: Sorghum bicolor (sorghum)
Lineage: Eukaryota; Viridiplantae; Streptophyta; Magnoliopsida; Poales; Poaceae
Description: long non-coding RNA (SBIC_LNC009053)
Source: RNAcentral
GCAGCUAAUAAUUAAUCUGCUGUACCAAUGGAACAGUUGGAAACAUAAUGGGAGCGUUUUGCAUCAAAACACGACCAUUCAGUAGCUCCUUGCACAUCGAUUAAGAUGUGGUUUGCUUGGACCAUUGAGAGGGCCGGGAACUUUCAAAGAUUGGAUACUUGACCCAAUUGCAUGUCCAGACGGGACAGAUUGGUACUCCCACCUGUGUAUUCAAUAUAUAUCUGUUUCAUCUUUUUCAGGUGGCCAAAGUGACAUGUCUCAGAACAUGCUCGACGAUUUCCCCUUGUACUUAGAGUUAUAGUCCAAUGAUAUUUUCACUCAUCUACUUGAAUACAUAUCUUACUUUCAUAUAUGUCCCUGGAAUAAUAAACUUAGGGCCUGUUUAGAUAAUGGACCUAAUUGCUAGCUAGCUAAAAAUUAGCUAUAGUACAUCCAAACAGGAGGUAUAAUAUAGGAGGGCUAAUUUUUUAGCCAAAUCUUUAACUAAUUGUUAGCCACAUAACUUGCCAACCUUAACUGCCUUAGCUAAGAGGCUUAAAUCAUAGAUUGGUUGACGUGACAUUAGUUUGUCAGAAUGUAGCGUAAGCAAAAUAGUCGAAUCGAUUUAAAAUUUGGUAUAGGGAAUACGGGGACCAUGCUUCAGAAUGUUCAUCCACAGCAAGAGGGGAGGGAACAAAUUUAAUGCAGCAGGUUCAGGGGCAGUGUCAGCAUUGAUCGGCAGAUGCCGGUGUCCAUUCAUAUUUGCAGAAGUAGGGCAGCGCUGAGAGACCGCCCUAUGAAUUGGCAGUUGGAUACCCAGAUGUUGCAGUUCAACGCUCAAAAUCUGUGCACCUAAUCCUCCCAAUCUCUAACCAUAGCAUGUGCAGAAUGUGUUGUAGGUUAAUGCCCGUACGUUGUUACGGGUUUUUUCAUAUGCUUUUUUACUCUAGAUUUUUUUUAUUUUUUUAUCUAUGUCAUGUAUUUAUGUAUUUUUAUGUAUAUUGUAAUAUCAGUUUCAUAAAUCUAAAACCAAAAUACUAUUCUUCUAAAUCGAUAACAUUUUUUUACAAAGACAGAACAUUGUGUGUUGAACCUAGAAUAUUGUUUCUACUUAAUAAAAGAAAAUAUUUUAUCUUUAUAAGAUAAAUUGUAACACCCUAAAAUUUGCUUGUUUUUAAGAUAGUUGAAAUUUGAUUUAUUGUGUCAAUUUUGUGAGCAUCAAAAUAUAAGAAAAAUAAUAAUAAUAAUUUUAGAGAAAUUAAAAUUUAAUAUAAGUUUAGAAUAACAUUGUUGUUGCAUAUAUGCUGGUGCAUUUUUAUUGAGAUGAU